RNAcentral lists this ribosomal RNA (253 nucleotides) under uncultured bacterium. RNAcentral describes it as "partial 16S ribosomal RNA". It matches the Rfam family "Bacterial small subunit ribosomal RNA", at positions 524 to 776 of the family's 1533-position model. The record is from RNAcentral.
UACGGAGGGUGCAAGCGUUAUCCGGAUUCACUGGGCUUAAAGGGUGCGUAGGCGGGUUGGUAAAUCCGUGGUGAAAUCCCCAAGCUUAACUUGGGAACUGCCGUGGAUACUAUCAAUCUUGAAUAUCGUGGAGGUAAGCGGAAUAUGUCAUGUAGCGGUGAAAUGCUUAGAUAUGACAUAGAACACCAAUUGCGUAGGCAGCUUACUACACGAUCAUUGACGCUGAGGCACGAAAGCGUGGGGAGCAAACAGG